UACGGGGGGGGCAAGCGUUGUUCGGAAUUACUGGGCGUAAAGGGCUCGUAGGCGGCCAACUAAGUCAGACGUGAAAUCCCUCGGCUUAACCGGGGAACUGCGUCUGAUACUGGAUGGCUCGAGAUUGGGAGAGGGAUGCGGAAUUCCAGGUGUAGCGGUGAAAUGCGUAGAUAUCUGGAGGAACACCGGUGGCGAAGGCGGCAUCCUGGACCAACACUGACGCUGAGGAGCGAAAGCCAGGGGAGCAAACGGG
Molecule: ribosomal RNA, 253 nt
Filed under: uncultured bacterium
Lineage: Bacteria
Description: partial 16S ribosomal RNA
Rfam family: Bacterial small subunit ribosomal RNA
Source: RNAcentral